CUUACCAGGUCAAGACAGGGGCGUGAUUGACAGGCUAAUGACUUUUCUCGAUUCCAUGGAUGGUGGUGCAUGGUCGCACUUAGUUGGUGCAGUGAUUUGUCAGGUUUAUUCCGGUAACGAACGAGACCUCGGCCUUGUAAAUAGCUAUGCUGCUUACAGGGACAUUGGCGGCUACGCCAAGGAAGCUCGAGGCAAUUGCAGAUCUGGAAUGCCCUUAGAUGUCCUGGGUCGCACGCGUGCUACAAUGACGCCACGAACGAGCUUGCGUGAUGAAAGUUACGCAUAAUCAGCAGUCGGCGUCUUAAGGGAUAGUCUCUUGUAACUGUGGGACUCCAACUAGGAAUGUCUCGUAAGCACAAGUCAACAUCUUGUGUUGAUUACGUCCCUGCUCUCUGUACACACCGCCCGUCGCUCCUACCGAUCGAGUGUUUAGGUGAAUUUGAUGGACGUAAGGAAGUCAAAUAAACCUGAGCACUAGAGAACGAGAAGUCGAGAACUGU
RNAcentral lists this ribosomal RNA (500 nucleotides) under uncultured Myrionecta. RNAcentral's name for it is "bacterial SSU rRNA". It matches the Rfam family "Eukaryotic small subunit ribosomal RNA", at positions 1214 to 1800 of the family's 1831-position model. The record is from RNAcentral. Lineage: Eukaryota; Ciliophora; Litostomatea; Cyclotrichida; Mesodiniidae.